This is a non-coding RNA of Chrysemys picta bellii (western painted turtle), 1281 nucleotides long. NCBI's taxonomy places the organism in Eukaryota, Metazoa, Chordata, Testudines, Emydidae. The record is from RefSeq and is a predicted model, not a curated record.
CCCGCCUGCAGCGGCCCCGCUACCCAGCCAGCCCCCGGGCAGCUUCCACGUCUCCGGGCUCUGGAGCACUGAGCUCACCCGGAAAGGAAGUGCAGGCAAUGGGGAGGAAGUGCCUGACUACAGACAGUAACAGGAUGCAGCUACAGCAGCAUGACUGUUUUUCAUCUGAAAGACAGCCAGGUAGCCCCAGAAGAAUUAAUCACCAGAAGAAACUUUGUAUGAGAAAAAAGAAAGAUAAUGUGGAAUGGCUUUGUAUAGGCUGGGACAUUGCCUCACGUGGAUCCUGCAUUUGGCAGUUUGUCCAUCAAAUUUUCAGCUCUGAAUGAGGCAAAGAUUUGGGCACUCUGCCAUCCAGAGGUCACAGUACUGUGACCUCUGAAUGUACCAGUUUUGACAAAAUUUUCAUUAGAAAAGGGUUCUCAGGUGCAGGAUGAAAUUUCUGCUAAAAAAACAGUACUCUGAAACCCACGUACUCUGUAAUAGCCAUAGCCUAGUUAUUAGCCUGUUCUGAAUUGGGUAUAGCAGGGACUUGAACCUAGAGCUCCCACAUCCCAGAGGAGUCCCAUAGUUACUGGAUUAUUGGCAAAUUUAUUACUAGGCAAAAAGACAUCAAACAUAUGCUAUUACUUUAUAUUCCCUGUGCAGCAAAUUGAUUACUACACAAACAUAAUGGCUGGUCUUUUUCACUGCUCUUUCACACUGGAGGAAUGCAAGAGGGUAAGCCAGGACAUUAAGUGGCUUCUCUUGUAACAUGAAACUCAGAUAUAGCAUGCAUAUGAGCAAAGCAUUUGCGUAUGGCUCAUCAUGAAUAAUCCUGCAAAGAUGAUCAUACUUCAUUAUUGAUGGAAAGAUGAUACGGCUCCUCAGUCAUACUGAAACAGCUCUCCUAAUGGCUUGCAUUAUUUCAUACAUAAGGCAUCCAGACUAUGUGGCUAGCAGACAGCUCUGCCUUAUUAGGAUGAGACUACCUUUUCCUGUGAGAGACUGAUAGAUAGUUAGCAAACUAAACCAAAUCUCACUUUUUUUCUACCAAAUUGGUUAUACAGUUACAGUAUAAACUGUAAUCUGCUUCCAGUAAGAUAUAGGCUGCCAUUUCUUUAGGUAUAAUUGUUUUCCUUCCAUCUCAACUCCAGUUCGUUGCCAUCUAUGGAUGAAUAGUUACAGUGUUGACAUUAUUUAGGUCUGCUUGAGCCUCCUCUUCACUAGAGAGAGGUUCUCCUUGAGUCUUUUCUUCACUAUCUGUUCUUCCAUAAGAAGAACAAACUCUUUAUCAGUGGGGUC